AAGAAAAAUGUCUAAACUUAAGCUGCUAACUUUUAGUUUUAGCGGUUGAACUCCGUUAUUUUCUUU
This 66-nucleotide transfer RNA is filed under the name Metisotoma macnamarai. RNAcentral describes it as "tRNA-Ser". Lineage: Eukaryota; Metazoa; Arthropoda; Collembola; Entomobryomorpha; Isotomidae. The record is from RNAcentral.